GGUGGGACAGAGCUUCUCACAUCCUUUGGACUCUGGGUUGCCAAAACAGCUCUGGAUGCAAGCUUGAGCUGCUCUGAUUUCCAAUUGCUUUCUGUGGGGAUGCUUCUCCCUGUCCUACACAGAGGAAAUCCUGCAGAGGGAGAGGACACCUCCUGGAAGGCCACAGUGAAGAUGAAGGUGCAGUAAAACCCUGUGAGGAGCCAGGACUUCCCCAGGAAUCACCAGGUUCAGAGCCCCGGCAGCUCCCUGCCCGCAGCCGCUCGGGGAUGCUCACAGGCUGACUGGGGGCUUUCUACCAAGCACCAUUCAACCACAGCCCUGUUGGUCCAGGCAGGGGUGAUGCUUCUGGUUUCAGCAGGAAACAGGGGUGAGAAGACACCACACAAAUGCACAGGGCUCAACCUCUCCUCAAUGUGACCUGGCACAAGUUCCUGUGGAGACGGGCUGUCCUGCACCAGCUGAAAACCCAAACCAUGUUGCAGGUGGCAUGGGCUUUAUCUUCUCUCAAGAGAACACCAUUGCUCGAUGAUCAAAAGUUGAUUGGAAAUGGAAACAAAUCCACCUGGAAAAAAAAUCAAACUUUUUUCCACCUCACGUGCUUUGAAACUCUCCCCUUUUCUAUGAUUUUCAUCAUUAAUUGAAGUUAUUGUUAUUUUAGGAAACCUUUUGAAACGUGCCUUUUGGUGAGAAAAUGUAGGGUCUGUCCAAUAAAAGAAUUACUACCAGGAUUUCAAAUGCAUAGUAAAAAAUUGCCUCUAAUUUCAUUAAAAAAUACAAUAAUAUAAUUAAUAUUAAAAUAGUUUCAUAAAA
Molecule: long non-coding RNA, 810 nt
Organism: Oxyura jamaicensis (ruddy duck)
Lineage: Eukaryota; Metazoa; Chordata; Aves; Anseriformes; Anatidae
Exons: 2
Source: RefSeq, a predicted model, not a curated record